UUUUCUUUUUUUUUUUUUGGCGGUACGCGGGCCUCUCGCUGUUGUGGCCUCUCCCGUUGCGGAGCCCAGGCUCCGGACGCGCAGGCUCAGCGGCCAUGGCUCACGGGCCCAGCCGCUCCGCGGCAUGUGGGAUCUUCCCGGACCGGGGCACGAACCCGUGUCCCCUGCAUCGGCAGGCGGACUCUCAACCACUGCGCCACAGGGAAGCCCCUUUUCUUCUUUUUUAAAUGGUGUUGAGACUGUGUUCCUUUCUAUCAGUUUCUUUAAUUUUGACACUCCUGACUGCCCUAUGAAGGUCAAGUGACAGAUUUCUCUGUUGACCUUCCAGAGCAGGUUUUGGAAGUUUUUCAUCCACUCUGUAUCACACAGAAAGUUUUCUAAAUAGAUGUGCCGAAAACAAGCAACUUACUGGUGAUGGCAAAGGCAAAAGAGGGACAGCAUCGACGCUGGAAACAGGCUCUCCUGCGUCACUUUUACUCUGCUUACAAAAGCAAAAUUCAUUCAGGUUUGAAAGAAUUGAAGGAAAAAAAAAAACCCAAAACAAACAGAAAACCCCAAGGGUCUCAGCCUGCAGUCUUUCCUUUGUAUGAGCUGAAGUCCUUAGAGACAGUUGAAUAACUUAAUAGAGUCCUCAGAAGCAUACCUGCCUUGAGAGAAAUAAGGGCAUUUUAAAACUGUGAACUUAGUAUUCUGUUUUUGACAGAGAAACUUUUUCCUCUUGAGGAACUGUAGAUUUUUAUUAUCCUUAAUAGUUGAAUUUGCAGGGAUGUGUUAAAUAAAAAUAGAACACGAAGUAAAUGCCAGCUAUUUCCAUCAACAGAAUUGUAGGUGACUUUUAUUAGAACUUUACUGAUGUUAAGUGAAGAAAGAGGGAAAGAGAAAAGGAGAGAGGAAGAGAGAGAGAAGGGGGGCAGGAAGGGAGAGAGGAAGAGGUAAAACAAAAAUGAAAAUGGAAAAAGCGCAGAUCUGUUCGUCUUGAUCAAAGAGGAGGCUCAGAAAAGAGCUGUUUCUGUGGGAUACUCUGUCCUCUGUGGAUCUUGUAACUCUGUGAUUAUCUUGCCCUGUGGCAAGACGCCACCCUGAAAUUGGUCUGCCAAUUUGAAGAAUCAUUUUCUUGCUUAUUUUUAAACUCCUAAGGACAGGGGAAAAGACUGAAGGAGCCUAAAUGCUGUGGUUUCCUCAAACCAUUAUUGUUGUAAAUCCUAUGGGUCCUGAAAUAACUCGCUAUUCCUGAAGUUUCAAACUGCCCCCUUGCUCAGAAGACUUGGCAGUUGAAAGGGAAAUGAUUAGCUCUUUCCUUUAAGCGCUGUCCCCAAGGUUUAAGUGGGUCAAAAUUGAAGAAUGUGGUGAUUGCAGAAGUAAACUACCUUUUUUAAAUGGAAAUUCUCUAGUUCUUUAUACAGAGCUUUGAGUUUUUCAAAUAUUUUCUAAAUCAAACAUAAAAUAUUUUAAAUUUAUAAAUCUUAAGUAACUUAAACAUUAGAUUAUUUGAUUUUCUAUGCAGAAAUCAUCAGGAGCCUGGGCAUUUUAACUUGGUGUCUUCCUUUGAAUGUUUAUGUUUUUGCUUGGUGAUUAAAAGUAAUUAUAGUCCAGUAACUCUCUCUGGUUAUGGGCUUAUGUUUUACUAACAAGUAACUUGUGGCAGAACUUGUGUUCCUUCUGGUUGGCUGGUACAUGAUCUUGAAUACUGUUGAUUUGUAGUCUGACUUCUCUUUAGAAUGAUUUAGGACAUUUAGUUUUGUGGACAGAAGAGUUGCACCUGUUUCUAGAGUUGAAGGUUGGCUAUUGUUUUAACUUCCUCGCAUUACUCAGAUGCUUAGGAAAAAAUGAUGCAAAUGACCUCUUUAUUUUUGUUUGGUUGGGUUUUUGUGGGGAGGCUUGCCAUUGAUUUGUAUAUUUUGGGAGUCAGUCCCUCCACAGGCACAUUGAUGAAAUAUACAGCAUGAAAGGUUAUGAGUUUAUUUUGAUGGGUUUUAACCUAGACUCUCCAAAAUAUAAUAUGCAUGUAUUUGGCACACUGACAAUGGCAAGGCUUUAAGAGGAUGAAAUUUACACUCUAGUGGUUUUAUUUUUUUCCUAUAAUACAUUCCAUUAUAAAUUCAGUAAGAAAGGGGAUCUGGGGUCAUUAUUAUGACAUCUUUUGGUGUCCUCCCUCCAGCUGGACACACUGACCUCAACAUUCUUGUAUGGAUACUUCCAGAAAAAUUCUUUUUUUUUUUUUUCCUUUUCUACUUCCAUCAUCCUUCAAACAUUUAAUUUAGGCUGAGUGAGAGAAGGAAAAACUGCCUUCUGAGUUUGCUCUGACGAACUUGCCUUGAGAGAGAAUGGUAUCUGUGGGUUUGAAAAUGAGGCCCCCUUUGGACUAUUAGUUUAAAGAAAUGAUGAUUUAUAAAAAUUCCACCAUAAGUUCAGCUAUUCAGUAAUUAUUAUUUAAUGUUGAGUUUUAGUACAGUUGUAUGUGGGGAAAUAAUAUCUAUUUAUUUAAUUUUUAAGGAGUAUGUUAAAUAUUUUUAUGACUUUUCAUAGGAAUCAUUAUGCACUUGGAUAGAUAUCUUAUGCAGGUUUUAUACACGCUCCACUAUUUACCUUUGGGUGAAACAGUAGAGUAAUAAUUCUGGUUUAUGCUAUAAGCAUUGAUCAUCUAUUGUGUUUCAGGCACCUCACAGGGCAUUGGAGGUUAGGUGUGAAUGAGCAAGUCCUUAUUUUGAGGAACUCUCAUUUUAGGUGGGCAGACAGAAUUGUGACACUAUCAUAGCUACAUAAAUAAAGCUGGGGAUUCUGCUGGGGGAGAGGAGCGAGGUCAAGGAUGGCUUCAGAGAAGUAAAAAAACAGGCUGUGGGGAUGGGGGCUGUACUCCAGACAAAGACAGUAAUAGUCUGAUCCAGGAUAGUGCAGGUAUGAGACCAUAUGGAAUAUGAAACAAAGCUACAGAUGGGGCCGCUGAAAGAAAUAUGGCCGGAAACUUUGGGGAAAAGAAUUGAGUUCAAGUCCAAAUUUAUUGAUAGAUGAGGAGUUCGGGAUUUAUUCUUGUGUUUUUUACAUAAGUGGAAACAUGAUUUCUUUUUUUUUUUUUCCUCCCGUAAGGGGGAGAAUGGAGCACUAAGUGCUCUUUUGGAAAGAUGUAGUAGGUCCAACGGUGGAUUAAGAGGUCAGACUUAGAAAGAAAAAAUAAACUCUUAUAAAGUUAUAAAAGAAUAUUGUCACUUGAGGAAACAUCUUAGCCAUCAGCACGACCUUUUGAAGCUCCAUCAGGCUGGAUGAAUGGAGCAAGGUUUCACAAUAAAGGCUCCUUUCUGCUGCCAUUGCCUAGGAGGCAUACUGUGCUCCUACAUGCGCUAGACUGGAGCCCCAUGGACAGCAGUGGAGUCAAGGCAACUCUACAUAUCUAAGGGAGAUCAGGAGAGGCUGUGAGAUGAUCUAAGCUAAGAGCUCAGGUCAACUUGGACACGCAUUCUUACAUUCCCUAGGGAAAUAGAACCAGAGGGGCCCAAGGGUUCUUGAAAAAAGAAAAACGUCAAAUCAUUUGGGUGUUAGAAGAGCUAGGGGUCCAUGAAUGAGAUUAGAGACAAAUUGCAUGAUAAGGAACCAAAUGAGGGCUUCCUUCUUGGUUGUGAUGUCAAGAAGUCUAGACAUAGACUUGGCUCUGAAGGAAGAAAAUAAAAA
This is a long non-coding RNA of Orcinus orca (killer whale), 3663 nucleotides long. RefSeq lists it as uncharacterized. The transcript has 2 exons. The record is from RefSeq and is a predicted model, not a curated record. NCBI's taxonomy places the organism in Eukaryota, Metazoa, Chordata, Mammalia, Artiodactyla, Delphinidae.